UACGUAGGGUCCGAGCGUUGUCCGGAAUUAUUGGGCGUAAAGAGCUCGUAGGCGGUUUGUCGCGUCUGCUGUGAAAUCCCGAGGCUCAACCUCGGGCCUGCAGUGGGUACGGGCAGACUGGAGUGCGGUAGGGGAGACUGGAAUUCCUGGUGUAGCGGUGAAAUGCGCAGAUAUCAGGAGGAACACCGGUGGCGAAGGCGGGUCUCUGGGCCGAUACUGACGCUGAGGAGCGAAAGCGUGGGGAGCGAACAGG
This 253-nucleotide ribosomal RNA is filed under the name uncultured bacterium. RNAcentral describes it as "partial 16S ribosomal RNA". It matches the Rfam family "Bacterial small subunit ribosomal RNA", at positions 524 to 776 of the family's 1533-position model. The record is from RNAcentral.